RNAcentral lists this ribosomal RNA (501 nucleotides) under uncultured bacterium. Its description in RNAcentral is "SSU rRNA". It matches the Rfam family "Bacterial small subunit ribosomal RNA", at positions 997 to 1498 of the family's 1533-position model. The record is from RNAcentral.
CCUUUAGAGAUAGAGGGGUGCUCGAAAGAGAGCCGUAACACAGGUGCUGCAUGGCUGUCGUCAGCUCGUGUCGUGAGAUGUUGGGUUAAGUCCCGCAACGAGCGCAACCCUUGUCAUUAGUUGCUACAUUCAGUUGGGCACUCUAAUGAGACUGCCGGUGACAAGCCGGAGGAAGGUGGGGAUGACGUCAAGUCCUCAUGGCCCUUAUAGGUGGGGCUACACACGUCAUACAAUGGCUGGUACAAAGGGUUGCCAACCCGCGAGGGGGAGCUAAUCCCACAAAGCCAGUCGUAGUCCGGAUCGUAGUCUGCAACUCGACUACGUGAAGUCGGAAUCGCUAGUAAUCGUGGAUCAGAAUGUCACGGUGAAUACGUUCCCGGGUCUUGUACACACCGCUCGUCACACCAUGGGAGCGGGUUCUGCCAGAAGUAGUUAGCUUAACCGCAAGGAGGGCGAUUACCACGGCAGGGUUCGUGACUGGGGUGAAGUCGUAACAAGGUA